Molecule: long non-coding RNA, 475 nt
Organism: Thalassophryne amazonica
Lineage: Eukaryota; Metazoa; Chordata; Actinopteri; Batrachoidiformes; Batrachoididae
Exons: 2
Source: RefSeq, a predicted model, not a curated record
ACAGGAUGGAGCGACUGGCACACAGUGUCUCCAGUACAGCUGCUCUAUUUCAAUUACCAACAAAAGACCUUGAGAGGUUGUCCAAAAUGUGCUUUCUUCUUUAGCCAUUUUUAAAAUCUGCAUCUAGAACACAAAAGUGGAUACUCUCCAUAAAAAAUGUCACUCAUCAAGGUCAAUAUGUGACUGUUUUUACUGAAAUUGAAGUAGCAGAUGGUCUCAUUUCAGGUGUGAUUAGAAAAUAUUUUCAGUGAUUAAAAAGAACAAUUCCAAAAUCCCCCAGCACAGCACACCCAAAGAUUAGUGUUGUUUUUGAACACAAACCACAAGUUACCAUGAUAAAAGAUCACAGGUUAGAAAAAGUGAGUAGAAGCCACUUUUGAUUCCUUGCAAAGACUCCUAAAACCAGAUUAACCUUGGUUUGCUGCUACAGUCCCCAGCUUCCCAGAGCAAAGCCUGGCUGAAACCCUGUAGUAAA